CCUGAGGUUUGCUCAGGAGCCUGUGGCUUCUGCUGCACUAAAUAGCAGGCCAGAGAUCCUUUUCUUUAAGUCCCUGAGUGGUUCCACAAGGACCCUUUAAAUCUGCCACGUGGGGCCAGGUGGUGGCUCACCUGGUUGAGCGCACAUGUCACAGUGCUCAAGGACCAGGGGGUUGAGCCCCUGGUUCUUAUCUGAAGGGUUAAGCUUUUCCAGUGGUGAAGCUGUGCUGCAGGUGUCUCUGUCUCUCUCCCUCUCUGUCUCCCCCACCCCUCUUGAUUUCUGACUGUCUGUAUCCAAUUAAUAAAUGAAGAUAAUAAAAAAUAAGUGUUAAAAAAAUCUGCCACGUGAAUUUGAAGCAGUUGCAGACAUGGCAUCCUCCAGCAAUGCAGUGCCACCUCACUUCUUUAAGUCCUUCUCUUCAUACCCUCCUGCUGUCCACGCUCAAUCACCAGCCUUCAGAAGCGAUGUUCCUUUACCGGAAAUCCCAGUUGUUCUCUGAUGAAAUUCGCAGUUAUUUUGUUGUUUUAUUUGUUGUUAUAUUUAUUUUCUGGGAGAGAGCCAACUGUCCAUGGCUAGGUUGCCAUAAUUGCAUCCUGGAGUCCACAAUAACAUACUUAGUAAAAGUUGAGUGUGUACACAUAGAUGGAAGUCGUCCUCUCCCCCAAGAUCUGUCUGUACAAAGUAAGAGGCAUGCCACAGAUAAGCUCACUGGUUUGUGCAUGCAGAUGUAUCAGAACAGGAUCAGUAGACUUUAUUUGUAAAGUAAAUAUUUUCAGCUUCUGCAGGCCAGCCGCUUACUGUAAGUUGUAGCUUGACUAUUCAGUGUUGCCAUUAUCAUGUGAAAUCUGCCAUGGAUAGUCAUAAGUGAAUAGACGUGGCUGUGUUCCAGUCAUAGUUUAUUUUCAAAAGCAGGUGAGAGGCAGGAUGUAGCCUGUGAUCGUAGUUUGCUACCCCUGACCCUUGCUUACAGAGUGUAUUGUUUCUUUAUAUGACUUUCAUAUCAGGUAUUUGUGGAACCCAUGAAAUGACUCCUGAUACAGAGAAAAUGGCAUGUUUAGCAGUUGCCUAGACUAGUGACCCAUUAGAGCUUGUGACCCACAAGCUUUGCAUUCGACGUAUUAAGUAAAUAUUCUCUUAGGAACCUGUUGUGCAUAAUUUUUAGUAAUAAAGUUUAUUGUAGAACAAAAGGCAUUACUACCCUUUGCGUCUUUUAAAGAACACAAUUAUAAUGAAUCCUGUAUUAGUAGCCUGGAGUCUUAACAUAUUAGAGAACUCAUCAUUUCAUUUCAGAAUUAUCAUCUAGCCUAAUAUGCUUUUUAGUCAGUCUUAUUUCUGAAAAGCUUUGAGCUACUCUUAACCCUUGGGAAUCUAGAAUAUAAUAGGUUAAAAAAAAAGAAGAAGAAGAAAAAGAAG
Molecule: long non-coding RNA, 1413 nt
Organism: Erinaceus europaeus (western European hedgehog)
Lineage: Eukaryota; Metazoa; Chordata; Mammalia; Eulipotyphla; Erinaceidae
Exons: 2
Source: RefSeq, a predicted model, not a curated record